GAGACGGCAUCAAAAGCACACCGCGAAACCGCUGCUGCGGAGAGAACUGUGGCUUCCCCCAGCAAAAGGGGAGAUGAUUGUACCCCGAAUCAAUGCGCUCAUUGGCUGCCCUGGCCGGGGGGGGGUGUCUAAGCCUGAACAGGAUUCCCGCUGCUACUGUGUGUCAUUAAAUUGGCAACUGCUAUAAAUUAGCUUGACAGCUAACGUCAAGCUGCACGGUAUUAACAACAACCCCCCCACACACACACCCCCGCGGCCAAGAGAAAGAGGACAAGGCGGGUGCUGCGCGACGGUCGGGGAGUUAUUUUUCGAAAUAUGAGCGCUGCAUUAUCACAAGGGACAUCACACUGUUCACCAAGGUCACGCACUCAAGGCAACAGGAGCAUUGUGGAAAAAUCGAAGGCACGAUAUAGAGCCAAUUCUUUACUACCCAUGCUAUUGCUAUUAAUAAAAAUAAUGUAUAGCACCUGUCAGAAGAAGCUCAGGAUGCUUUGUAAAAAUACCCAGUUACUGCACUCAUCACCAUGGUAGAAGAAUCUAAUGCUUCACAGCAAUACAGAGAGGACCUGUUCAAAGCCCAUUGAAAUCAACGGAACUUUUUCAGUGGACUCAAGUGUUCAUCAGCAGUCGAACCAAGACAUUUCAGAUAAUUUUUGAAUAAUGAAGAAUAGGCAUGUGGAGAAAAGUAUUGUGAGUAUAAUAAAGGUGAAACAAUGGAAGACUAGGAAUCUAUGCCUGAGAAACCUGAAAGAAAAUAGGGACAAUGCUUAGGGACCAGGUUAAAUUUAACAGGUAGAAAUUAUUAAUUACAUAUACAAAUAAGGGGAAACACAAGAGGGGAGCUACAUGAAUUGAGUUAUAUGGUUGCUAGAUCGUAUGCUGCAAUUCUUUGAAUUUUGCGAAAUACACAGUGUGAUGCUGGCAGACCUGGAGCCAACUCUUGCCAACGCUUUAGGCCUCAGCUGAAUAUUGACAAAUUCAUUGCUGGAAACCAGUCCAGGUCACCUGUGUGUUAGUAUGGUUAAAACAGGUAUUGAACUUAUAACAUGUUUAGACUAUGAAAUGCUUGUAAGUUGAUGCGUGCAUUAGUCUCACUUACAACAUCUUUAUCACAAGCUAUAAGGUAAUAUUUAAUUGGUUUGCUUUAUGACUGUAAAAAAAGUUUGCUCUGAACUUUUGAACCCAGUCAGAAGGGAUCGUCUAACCAUCAAGAAGGCCUAUCAAAACUAAAUGGGCCAUUGUGGGACACUACUAUAAUAAAUAUUAAGCAUACUAAGACUAUGCUAAUUGCCUCUCACACCCAUAAAGAGGCGUAGAGACUGUCCAGUUUGGCCAAUGUACAUGGCAGAGGGGCAUUUCUGGCACAUGAUGGCAUGUAUCACUCACCAGCAACCACACAACAAAACCACUAACCCAGGAACCUAUCCUUGCAACAAAGCCCAUUGCCAACUCUGUCCACAUAUCUAUUCAAGGGACGGACACCAUCAUAGGACCUAAUAACAUCAGCCACACUAUCAGAGGCUCGUUCACCUGCACGUCUACCAAUGUGAUAUAUGUAAUCAUGUGCCAGCAAUGCCCCUCUGCCAUGUACAUUGGCCAGACUGGUCAGUCUCUGUGCAAAAGAAUAAAUGGACACAAAUCAGAUGUCAAGAAUUAUAACGUUCAAAAACCAGUCGGAGAACACUUCAACCUCCCUGGACACUCAAUUACAGACCUAAAAGUCACAAUUAUUCAAAAAAAAAAAACCCUUCAAAAACAGACUCCAAUGAGAAACAGCAGAACUGGAAUUAAUCUGAAAACUGGACACCAUUAAAUUAGGCUUGAAUAAAGACUGGAAGUGGAUGAGUCAUUACACUAACUAAAAACUAUUUCCCCAUGCUAAUUUUCCCCCUUCUGUUACUCACACUUUCUUGUCAACUGUUUGAAAUGGGCCAUCUUGAUUAUCACGACAACAGGUUUUUUUUUCCUCCUGCUAAUAAUAGCCCACCUUAAUCGAUUGGUCUCGUUAAGAGUUGGUAUGGCAAUCCCCAUUUUUUCAUGUUCUCUCUAUAUAUAUAUCGUCCUACUAUUUUUUCCACUGCAUGCAUCUGAUGAAGUGAGCUUUAGCCCACGAAAGCUUAUACUCAAAUAAAUUUGUUAGUCUCUAAGGUGCCAUAAGUACUCCUCGUUCUUUCUGCUGAUACAGACUAACAUGGCUACCACUCUGUGACGAGGUGGGACUGUUCUUAAUGUUUCCUCUGAAUACUGUAGGGGUGCCUCAGUUUCCCGUAUGCAUUUCGUAAGUCUCUAGGUGGUGGGAUAAGGGGGUGUAAUUGUUGCAGAGCAAAGGGCCAGUUUACAUAAAUGGCCGACACUGUCUCCUGGCAACUGAUGGCCUGGACCCUUCCCCCCUGCAAGGUGAUAGCUAAAGAGUUGGAGAACAAAGGAAUCAGGUGACCUCCUGGCCCGGGAAAGGGACAAAGCCCAGAGGAGGAGGGGGUGGAGGGUGAGUCAGUUUGGGCUGGCUGGGGACGUGGAGUGAAGUGCAGAUGUGGUUGUCUGGCUCACUGCCCCCCAAAAUGGACCUGGCUGAGUGGUCCCGUUCUCUGUACCUACAAGCUCUAUUUUAGACCAUGUUCCUGUCAUCUAAUAAACCUCUGUUUUACUGGCUGGCUAAGAGUCACAUCUGACUGCAAAGCUGGGGUGCAGGACCCUCUGGCUUCCACAGGACUCCACCUGGGCAGACUUGCUGUGGGAAGCGCACGGAGGGGCAGAGGAUGCUGAAUGCUCCAAGGUCAGACGCAGGAAGGUGGAAGCUGUGUGAGCUUUUUGCCCUGAAGACAGUCUGCUCGCACAGAGGAGACUUCACCAGAGUCCUGACUGGCUUCAUAGGGAGCAGUUCCAGACCAUCGCCCGGGGACUCCGUGACACACAGUGAAACCUGUCUCCAGACAAUGUGACACACAGUUAUACCAGUUAUCUAUUCAAUAAGCAAGAUGUAAAACAUGAGUUAAAUUUAAAUGUAAUAACAACCUCAAAAUAUGUCUGCUCAUGUAAAAAAGCUAUGUCAAUGUAAUGAAUGGCUCACUAGGCUUUCUGUUUUACUGAUGUCAGCAGUAACAAAGAAAUGCUUUGCAAAAAUCACUUUUAAUGGCUAGAUUAUAAGAUCUAUUUUCCAAGGCAGAGCAUUAAAUAACAUCCAUAGCCAUAUAUAAUUAGGCUUGGAAGGGUUAGAUUAUUGUCAGUAAAUGUCGAUUUCACCAUACUCACACAAACUGAUGAAAAAAUAUUUCCAUUGAUAACAGUUGGAAUUUAAAGAUAGAAAGAAAAUGAAAAAUGCUGCUGGAAAACUUAGUUUGAUUUAAGGAUAUUUACUGUGUACAUUUUGAUAUGUGAUGUUGACAAUUUGUGUUGUACCAAUUAUAAAGUUUAAUUUUUUUAAUCUCAACAUCUGUCAUCAAAUAUUUGUCUGAUGCCCCAUAAUUUCCUGCAAAUAUGAACAUUUAAAUUGAUAAAAAAUAGGGAAAAUGCUUAAAACCCAUAAUUUUGCAUAACCGAAAAAUUAAAUAAAUAAAAAGCAGGGGAAAAUGCUUAAGAAUACAUUAUUGAAAAACAGUUGAACUGCAAGUUUUCAUGACAUGAUGAAAACACCCCCAUCAAAACUCUGACCCCUUUCUACUCUAACACUUGAAUAGUGCAACCACACCACUGUUGAAUAACUGGUACUAUUUUUUCUAGUGUAGUCAGGGCCUUAGAUACUGUGGUGGUGACUAUCAGGGCUUGUGUACACAAGAAGGUUACUUUGAAUUAAGAUGGGAGAUGAAUUUAUAGCACACUAGCUACUCUUAAAUAACUCCAUGUGUAGACAAGCCCUUAGAAAUGGUUUAGGCAGAGAGCUAUACAUAAUACUGAAUAAGAACUGCAGGAGAUGCCCUCUAGGUGGCAGGAUUCUGAAUUGUGCAUAUAAUUUUAUUUUUUAAAUGUUUAUGUUUUGAAGAGUGUUAAUGGCUUGUUUUAACAUCUGUUUUAUAAGUAAUAUGAGAUAUAAACUUGGAAUGUUGAAAAGCAUAAGGACUGAGUAGUACUGAACAAAAAAUUAAUUACCUGAAACAAAAAAGAAAAGGGCUAAAUAAUUGAAGAAUUUAAGUAAAAGCAUAAGUUUCAAAGUAGAUUUGGAUUUUGUUAGAUAAUUAUUGUGUAUUAGAUGUGUUUUCACCAUUUCCAGUCAUUUUCUUAGACCUCUAUUAAAAUGCAGGAAAUACAAGCGUGA
Caretta caretta (loggerhead turtle) is the source of this 4249-nucleotide long non-coding RNA. RefSeq lists it as uncharacterized. Lineage: Eukaryota; Metazoa; Chordata; Testudines; Cheloniidae. The record is from RefSeq and is a predicted model, not a curated record.